GAUGAACGCUGGCGGCAUGCCUUACACAUGCAAGUCGAACGGCAGCAUGACCUAGCUUGCUAGGUUGCUGGCGAGUGGCGAACGGGUGCGUAAUGCAUCGGAACGUGCCUGUUAGUUGGGGAUAACUUAGCGAAAAUUACGCUAAUUCCCCAUAUUCUCUGAGGAGUGGAGCCACUGUCCUUCUAACCUUUCGCUCGAUAAGCGGCCGCUUUCGGCUUAUCUAGUUGGUGAGGUAAAGCCUCACCAAGGCAACGUUCCGUCGGGGGACUGAGUGGAUGAAACGACACACUAGGACUGCACCACGGCACAGACUCGUACGGGACGCAGCAGUGGAGAAUGUUGGACAAUGGGCGCAAGCCUGAUCCAGCCCUGCCGCGUGAGUGAAGAAGGCCUUGGGGUUGUAAAGCUAAUUCGGCUGGGAAGAAAUCGAACCCUCUAAAAUAGUGCGUGGAUGACGGUACCAGAAGAAGAAGCACCGGCUAACUACGUG
Molecule: ribosomal RNA, 490 nt
Filed under: uncultured bacterium
Lineage: Bacteria
Description: partial 16S ribosomal RNA
Rfam family: Bacterial small subunit ribosomal RNA
Source: RNAcentral